UACGUAGGGAGCAAGCGUUGUUCGGAUUUACUGGGCGUAAAGGGCGCGUAGGCGGCGUGGUAAGUCACUUGUGAAAUCUCCGAGCUUAACUCGGAACGGUCAAGUGAUACUGCUGUGCUAGAGUGCAGAAGGGGCAAUCGGAAUUCUUGGUGUAGCGGUGAAAUGCGUAGAUAUCAAGAGGAACACCUGAGGUGAAGACGGGUUGCUGGGCUGACACUGACGCUGAGGCGCGAAAGCUAGGGUAGCAAACGGG
This 253-nucleotide ribosomal RNA is filed under the name uncultured bacterium. Its description in RNAcentral is "partial 16S ribosomal RNA". It matches the Rfam family "Bacterial small subunit ribosomal RNA", at positions 524 to 776 of the family's 1533-position model. The record is from RNAcentral.